RNAcentral lists this ribosomal RNA (406 nucleotides) under uncultured bacterium. RNAcentral's name for it is "partial 16S ribosomal RNA". It matches the Rfam family "Bacterial small subunit ribosomal RNA", at positions 28 to 526 of the family's 1533-position model. The record is from RNAcentral.
GAUGAACGCUAGCUACAGGCUUAACACAUGCAAGUCGAGGGACCGGCGCGCGGGUGAGUAACACGUAUCCCACCUGCCCUUUACUCGGGGAUAGCCUUUCGAAAGAAAGAUUAAUACCCGAUGUAAAGGAUGGGGAUGCGUUCCAUUAGGUUGUUGGUGAGGUAACGGCUAACAAAGCCUUCGAUGGCUAGUGGUUCUGAGAGGAAGCUCCCCCGCAUUGGAACUGAGACCCGGUCCAAACUCCGACGCGAGGUAGCAGUGAGGAACAUUGGUGAAUGGGCGUUAGCCUGACCCAGCCAAGUAGCGUGAAGGAUGAAGGCUUAUGGGUCGUAAACUUCUUUUAUAUAAGAAUAUGUAUUAUAUGAAUAAGGAUCGGCUAACUCCGUGCCAGCAGCCGCGGUAAUUC